UUUCAUGAUAAUUUAUCGAACGUUAAAGUAAUAAAAGUUUCAAAAGCUUUAUUUUUUCAUUCAUCCUUUUUUACAAUACAACUUUAAAUUUCAUUCGCUUCCCGCGAUAAUAAGACGCGCGUAUCUCAGUACGCAUGCGAACUAAAACAUAAACACAUUCAAAAAACUUGUCGUGUCUUUAAAAAAAAACAGUCGACGUAAAUAAUAUAAUUAAUUAUUAUUCUUACAUUAUUAAUCUAUUAUAUUCAAAUUAAUAAACUGAUUUGAGUGCUAAUUAAAUCGCUCGUAGCAAGGAUAUUAAGAUGAGAACCUAAAUAGCUACAUUAGUCGCUGUUCUGUUGACAUUCUAACCUAAUUUCAUUUGUCAAAAUAUAUAAAUUGAAUGUAUUCACAAUAAGACCGCAAUGUACACAAAAAAAGUCAGAUGGUGAUCAAUAGAUGUUUUUUCUAAAUGUACGUUAAUUUUUACAUUGAUCAUUAUUAAUUCUAAAUCAUGAAUUUAAUAUGAUUUACUUAAUGAACAAGUUUGAAUCCUAAUUAAAUUGCUAGUAACAAUAUUAUAAUUAAGAUGAGAACCGGAAAAGCAACAGAAGCCACAGUUCUGUCAACGAUCUAACCAAAUUUUAUUCGUGCACUAAAAUAAACUGAACUUAUUCAAAAAAUGACAGGAGUAAGAAUGUGAAAAAAUGUAUCCUUAAUCAAUGGAUAUUUGUUUCAAAUGUACAUCAAUUCGUACGUUGCCCACCAAAUUGACGGAAUUUCUACCUAUGGCGCAAAAAAGAGGGUAAUAACUAAUGAAUUAAGGAAGCUAAAAUUUUAUUGUGAUUUCGAAUCGAAGAAAACGCGUUUGAAUAUUCUCUAAUUGUCGCAGUGAUUUAAAAGUGUUCAUUCAUAGAGCAUGAUCACAUGCAAGUGCAAUUUAAGAAGAGAAAUUUUUCAUUCCUGCGUAAUUGGUUUUAAAUUUAUUCUUUCAAGAUAAAAUAAAUCUCUUUGGAUUUAACGCACGUGUCAAAUAUUAUUCUAGUUAUGAUAACUAUAUUAUUAUCAAGUCAAAUAAAACAUAUCUGGCUGUGUAGACUUAUUACAAUAAUGAAAUUAAAAUUGAGAAGUGACGUCGAUGAAUAAUGAGUCCA
Microplitis demolitor is the source of this 1133-nucleotide long non-coding RNA. RefSeq lists it as uncharacterized. The transcript has 4 exons. The record is from RefSeq and is a predicted model, not a curated record. NCBI's taxonomy places the organism in Eukaryota, Metazoa, Arthropoda, Insecta, Hymenoptera, Braconidae.